Molecule: long non-coding RNA, 723 nt
Organism: Neofelis nebulosa (Clouded leopard)
Lineage: Eukaryota; Metazoa; Chordata; Mammalia; Carnivora; Felidae
Exons: 3
Source: RefSeq, a predicted model, not a curated record
AUGCAGAGAAAUUCAGUUUUGUUCAGCCGCCGCUGCAGAACUCGGAUCAGAGAUUCACGUCACGUGGGAGAACUGAACUGAAGCUUCGAAGAGACGACUUACAAGAGCCCCUCCUCUCUGAACAUGCCUUCCUAGACCUACGACACCAUUACAGCAUUAUUCCCUUGACUUUUGGUCAUAGGAACAGCCCAGAUGACUUCUGGUCAUAUAAAGAGAAUUUUAUAUUUUGGAAAAUUGCUACUGAGAACACAGAUAUUAAGGGAUCAAUUCUUGAAAUUAAGAGCUAACUAGGAUAAAGCUUGUCACUUCUGAGCAACCACAAAAAAACAGCACAAAAAUCUACUUAAGAGAGGAGAUGAAAUGGAUUACAAAACGACUACGUUAGCACAAAGAGGGCAGAAAAGGAGAAACAGAAUGAAGAAUGGAUAGAACAAACAGAAAUCAAGUACGUGGAUGUAAGAACUGGACGCACACUGAAACAAAUGAAUUGGAUACACAAGUACAUCCAGAAAAUAAGUAUUUCAAAUGACUGAAACAGUAUUUUGCCUGUAUACCAACAACAGAAUAUAAUCCAAAGACAAAUAUGGCAGCAAAGAAAUGUUUUAUUUCAUUAAUCAAUCUUAAUUUUACUAACAGUACUUUAUUAUUAAUUUGUAGGUAUGUAUCUGGUAGGUUAAAGCAAAUAAGUAAAUACUUCAGUACUGUUAAGGCCAAGAUUUUUCA